Molecule: non-coding RNA, 306 nt
Organism: Vicia faba (fava bean)
Lineage: Eukaryota; Viridiplantae; Streptophyta; Magnoliopsida; Fabales; Fabaceae
Source: the annotation of a GenBank genome assembly
AUGCAUGUUUGGGAGAAUUCUGUUCCUGAGAAAUUGCGGAGCCAAUUCUUUCAAGCAACUAUUCAGGAUUGCAUCUUGCUCAACAUUGCGGAAAGUGAUAACUCUAACACAAGCUGGUAUCUGAAAAUCCCAAUCCUUCAUCAUUUCAAACCAUCGAUCUCGAUUCGAUACUCCAUCGUUCAAUUCUUUACUUCGAUUCCACUUUUCGCCGAUUUUGGAUUCGCUACGUUGUUCACUUCGCUUCGCACUUUCAUGUUCUUCUUCGGGUUCCAAUUCUCUCCUCAUCCGUGUGUAAACAGAUCUUGA